RNAcentral lists this ribosomal RNA (504 nucleotides) under uncultured bacterium. RNAcentral describes it as "partial 16S ribosomal RNA". It matches the Rfam family "Bacterial small subunit ribosomal RNA", at positions 29 to 523 of the family's 1533-position model. The record is from RNAcentral.
AUUGAACGCUGGCGGCAGGCCUAACACAUGCAAGUCGAACGGUAGCACAGAGAGCUUGCUCUCGGGUGACGAGUGGCGGACGGGUGAGUAAUGUCUGGGAAACUGCCCGCUGGAGGGGGAUACCUACUGGAAACGGUAGCUAAUACCGCAUAACGUCGCAAGACCAAAGUGGGGGACCUUCGGGCCUCGUACCAUCGGAUGGGCACAGAGCGGAUUAGCUAGUAGGUGGGGUAAUGGCUCACCUAGGCGACGAGCCCUAGCUGGUCUGAGAGGAUGACCAGCCACACUGGAACUGAGACACGGUCCAGACUCCUACGGGAGGCAGCAGUGGGGAAUAUUGCACAAUGGGCGCAAGCCUGAUGCAGCCAUGCCGCGUGUAUGAAGAAGGCCUUCGGGUUGUAAAGUACUUUCAGCGGGGAGGAAGGCGGUGAAGUUAAUAACUUCACCGAUUGACGUUACCCGCAGAAGAAGCACCGGCUAACUCCGUGCCAGCCGCCGCCGUAA